GGAGAGUUGUUGUUGUGUUAUAGAGCUAAUGCAGUCGAGCGAGCUUGCCUAGAUGAUUUUAGUGCUUGCACUAAAUGAAACUAGAUACAAGCGACCGUCGGACGGGUGAGUAACACGUGGGUAACCUGCCCAAGAGACUGGGAUAACACCUGGAAACAGAUGCUAAUACCGGAUAACAACACUAGACGCAUGUCUAGAGUUUGAAAGAUGGUUCUGCUAUCACUCUUGGAUGGACCUGCGGUGCAUUAGCUAGUUGGUAAGGUAACGGCUUACCAAGGCAAUGAUGCAUAGCCGAGUUGAGAGACUGAUCGGCCACAUUGGGACUGAGACACGGCCCAAACUCCUACGGGAGGCAGCAGUAGGGAAUCUUCCACAAUGGACGAAAGUCUGAUGGAGCAACGCCGCGUGAGUGAAGAAGGGUUUCGGCUCGUAAAGCUCUGUUGGUAGUGAAGAAAGAUAGAGGUAGUAACUGGCCUUUAUUUGACGGUAAUUACUUAGAAAGUCACGGCUAACUACGUGCCAGCAGCCGCGGUAAUACGUAGGUGGCAAGCGUUGUCCGGAUUUAUUGGGCGUAAAGCGAGUGCAGGCGGUUCAAUAAGUCUGAUGUGAAAGCCUUCGGCUCAACCGGAGAAUUGCAUCAGAAACUGUUGAACUUGAGUGCAGAAGAGGAGAGUGGAACUCCAUGUGUAGCGGUGGAAUGCGUAGAUAUAUGGAAGAACACCAGUGGCGAAGGCGGCUCUCUGGUCUGCA
Molecule: ribosomal RNA, 750 nt
Filed under: uncultured bacterium
Lineage: Bacteria
Description: bacterial SSU rRNA
Rfam family: Bacterial small subunit ribosomal RNA
Source: RNAcentral